UGGGGAAUAUUGGACAAUGGGGGAAACCCUGAUCCAGCGACGCCGCGUGCGGGAUGAAGGCCUUCGGGUUGUAAACCGCUGUCAGAGGGGAUGAAGUGCUGGGUGGUAAUUCAUAAUCCAUCCAGUUUGACAGAGCCUCAGAGGAAGCACGGGCUAAGUAUGUGCCAGCAGCCGCGGUAAUACAUACUGUGCGAACGUUAUUCGGAUUUACUGGGCUUAAAGGGUGCAUAGGCGGCUUGUUAAGUAGGGUGUGAAAGCCCCCAGCUCAACUGGGGAAUUGCACUCUAUACUGGUGAGCUAGAGUGAGAUAGGGGUGUGUGGAACUGCCAGUGGAGCGGUGAAAUGUGUUGAUAUUGGCAGGAACGCCGGUGGCGAAAGCGACACACUGGGUCUCAACUGACGCUGAGGCACGAAAGCCAGGGGAGCGAACGGGAUUAGAUACCCAAGUAGUCCCUGAGCGGGCUGGCAAGGCGCAU
This 476-nucleotide ribosomal RNA is filed under the name uncultured bacterium. Its description in RNAcentral is "bacterial SSU rRNA". It matches the Rfam family "Bacterial small subunit ribosomal RNA", at positions 355 to 825 of the family's 1533-position model. The record is from RNAcentral.